This 74-nucleotide transfer RNA is filed under the name Steroidobacter agaridevorans. Its description in RNAcentral is "tRNA-Cys". It matches the Rfam family "tRNA". From Rfam's summary of the family: Transfer RNA (tRNA) molecules are approximately 80 nucleotides in length. Their secondary structure includes four short double-helical elements and three loops (D, anti-codon, and T loops). Further hydrogen bonds mediate the characteristic L-shaped molecular structure. tRNAs have two regions of fundamental functional importance: the anti-codon, which is responsible for specific mRNA codon recognition, and the 3' end, to which the tRNAs corresponding amino acid is attached (by aminoacyl-tRNA synthetases). tRNAs cope with the degeneracy of the genetic code in two manners: having more than one tRNA (with a specific anti-codon) for a particular amino acid; and 'wobble' base-pairing, i.e. permitting non-standard base-pairing at the 3rd anti-codon position. The record is from RNAcentral. Lineage: Bacteria; Pseudomonadati; Pseudomonadota; Gammaproteobacteria; Steroidobacterales; Steroidobacteraceae.
GGCGCGGUGGCCGAUCGGUGAGGCAGAGGUUUGCAAAGCCUCGUAAAUAGGUUCGAAUCCUGUCCGCGCCUCCA